AAUAGGCGGAGGAAAAGAAACUAACAAGGCUUCCCCUACUAACGGCGAGCGAACCGGGAAGAGCUCAAAUUUGUAAUCUGGCGCCCCUCGGGCUCAGAGUUGUAAUCUACAGAGGCGUUUUCCGUGCCGGCCCGUGCCCAACUUUGCUUGGAACAGUGAGAUCAAAGAGGGUGAAAAUCCCGUACUUGACACGACCGCCGGUGCUAUGUGAUACGUCUUCUAAGAGUCGAGUUGUUUGGGAAUGCCCCUCAAAACGGGUGGUAAAUUCCAUCUAAGGUUAAAUAUUGGCGAGAGACCGAUAGCGAACAAGUACCGUGAGGGAAAGAUGAAAAGCACUUUGGAAAGAGAGUUAAACAGCACGUGAAAUUGUUGAAAGGGAAACGAUUGAAGUCAGUCGUGUCCGAGGGGUUCAGCCGGUCCUGCCGGUGCAUUCCUCUCGGACGGGUCAACAUCGGUUUUGUCCGGCGGACAAGGGCAUGGGGAAAGUGGCACCUUUGGGUGUGUUAUAGCCCCGUGUCGCAUACGUCGGACGAGACCGAGGAACGCAGCUCGCCUCACGGCCGGGGUUCGCCCACGUACGAGCUUAGGAUGUUGACAUAAUGGCUUUAAACGACCCCUCU
RNAcentral lists this ribosomal RNA (620 nucleotides) under Tremella flava. RNAcentral describes it as "LSU rRNA". It matches the Rfam family "Eukaryotic large subunit ribosomal RNA", at positions 45 to 654 of the family's 3401-position model. Lineage: Eukaryota; Fungi; Basidiomycota; Tremellomycetes; Tremellales; Tremellaceae. The record is from RNAcentral.